UACGAAGGGGGCUAGCGUUGCUCGGAAUUACUGGGCGUAAAGCGCACGUAGGCGGGUCGUUAAGUCGGGGGUGAAAUCCUGGAGCUCAACUCCAGAACUGCCCCUCGAAACUGGCGAUCUUGAGUUCGGGAGAGGUGAGUGGAACUGCGAGUGUAGAGGUGAAAUUCGUAGAUAUUCGCAAGAACACCAGUGGCGAAGGCGGCUCACUGGCCCGAUACUGACGCUGAGGUGCGAAAGCGUGGGGAGCAAACAGG
This 254-nucleotide ribosomal RNA is filed under the name uncultured bacterium. Its description in RNAcentral is "partial 16S ribosomal RNA". It matches the Rfam family "Bacterial small subunit ribosomal RNA", at positions 524 to 776 of the family's 1533-position model. The record is from RNAcentral.